Molecule: ribosomal RNA, 497 nt
Filed under: uncultured bacterium
Lineage: Bacteria
Description: partial 16S ribosomal RNA
Rfam family: Bacterial small subunit ribosomal RNA
Source: RNAcentral
GAUGAACGCUGGCGGCGUGCCUAAUACAUGCAAGUCGAGCGAACAGACGAGGAGCUUGCUCCUCUGACGUUAGCGGCGGGCGGGUGAGUAACACGUGGAUAACCUACCUAUAAGACUGGGAUAACUUCGGGAAACCGGAGCUAAUACCGGAUAAUAUAUUUAACCGCAUGGUUCAAUAGUGAAAGACGGUUUUGCUGUCACUUAUAGAUGGAUCCGCGCCGCAUUAGCUAGUUGGUAAGGUAACGGCUUACCAAGGCAACGAUGCGUAGCCGACCUGAGAGGGUGAUCGGCCACACUGGAACUGAGACACGGUCCAGACUCCUACGGGAGGCAGCAGUAGGGAAUCUUCCGCAAUGGGCGAAAGCCUGACGGAGCAACGCCGCGUGAGUGAUGAAGGUCUUCGGAUCGUAAAACUCUGUUAUUAGGGAAGAACAAAUGUGUAAGUAACUAUGCACGUCUUGACGGUACCUAAUCAGAAAGCCACGGCUAACUACGUG